This 433-nucleotide ribosomal RNA is filed under the name uncultured bacterium. RNAcentral's name for it is "partial 16S ribosomal RNA". It matches the Rfam family "Bacterial small subunit ribosomal RNA", at positions 29 to 507 of the family's 1533-position model. The record is from RNAcentral.
AACGAACGCUGGCGGCAGGCCUAACACAUGCAAGUCGAGCGAGGACUUCGGUCCUAGCGGUGGACGGGUGAGUAACGCGUGGGAACGUGCCCUUUGCUUCGGAAUAGCCCUGGGAAACUGGGAGUAAUACCGGAUGAGCCCUUUGGGGGAAAGAUUUAUCGGCGAAGGAUCGGCCCGCGUUGGAUUAGGUAGUUGGUGGGGUAAUGGCCUACCAAGCCGACGAUCCAUAGCUGGUUUGAGAGGAUGAUCAGCCACACUGGGACUGAGACACGGCCCAGACUCCUACGGGAGGCAGCAGUGGGGAAUCUUAGACAAUGGGGGAAACCCUGAUCUAGCCAUGCCGCGUGAGCGAUGAAGGCCUUAGGGUUGUAAAGCUCUUUCAGCUGGGAAGAUAAUGACGGUACCAGCAGAAGAAGCCCCGGCUAACUCCGUG